UACGGAGGAUGCAAGCGUUAUCCGGCAUGAUUGGGCGUCAAGCGUCCGCAGGUGGCAAUGUAAGUCUGCUGUUAAAGAGUGAGGCUCAACCUCAUAAGAGCAGUGGAAACUACAUAGCUAGAGUGCGUUCGGGGCAAAGGGAAUUCCUGGUGUAGCGGUGAAAUGCGUAGAGAUCAGGAAGAACACCGGUGGCGAAAGCGCUUUGCUAGGCCGCAACUGACACUGAGGGACGAAAGCUAGGGGAGCGAAUGGG
This 253-nucleotide ribosomal RNA is filed under the name uncultured bacterium. RNAcentral describes it as "partial 16S ribosomal RNA". It matches the Rfam family "Bacterial small subunit ribosomal RNA", at positions 524 to 776 of the family's 1533-position model. The record is from RNAcentral.